GUAAGGUGGAGCUAAUCCCUUAAAGCUACUCUCAGUUCGGAUUGUAGGCUGAAACUCGCCUACAUGAAGCUGGAGUUACUAGUAAUCGCAGAUCAGAAUGCUGCGGGGAAUGCGUUCCCGGGUCUUGGACACACCGCCCGUCACACCACGGGAGUUGGAGACGCCCGAAGCCGAUUAUCUAACCUUUUGGAAGAAGUCGUCGAAGGUGGAAUUAAUAACUGGGGUGAAGUCGUAACAAGGUAGCCGUAUCGGAAGGUGCGGCUGGAUCACCUCCUUUCUAAGGAGA
This 286-nucleotide ribosomal RNA is filed under the name Clostridioides difficile. Its description in RNAcentral is "partial 16S ribosomal RNA". It matches the Rfam family "Bacterial small subunit ribosomal RNA", at positions 1257 to 1533 of the family's 1533-position model. Lineage: Bacteria; Bacillati; Bacillota; Clostridia; Peptostreptococcales; Peptostreptococcaceae. The record is from RNAcentral.